Molecule: ribosomal RNA, 260 nt
Filed under: uncultured soil bacterium
Lineage: Bacteria
Description: partial 16S ribosomal RNA
Rfam family: Bacterial small subunit ribosomal RNA
Source: RNAcentral
GGAACGAACGCUGGCGGCAUGCCUAAUACAUGCAAGUCGAACGAACACUUCGGUGUUAGUGGCGCACGGGUGCGUAACGCGUGGGAAUCUGCCCUUGGGUUCGGAAUAACAGUUGGAAACGACUGCUAAUACCGGAUGAUAUCGAAAGAUCAAAGAUUUAUCGCCCAGGGAUGAGCCCGCGUAGGAUUAGCUAGUUGGUGAGGUAAAGGCUCACCAAGGCGACGAUCCUUAGCUGGUCUGGAAGAGGAUGAUCAGCCACA